RNAcentral lists this transfer RNA (65 nucleotides) under Sternocampsus coriaceus. Its description in RNAcentral is "tRNA-Tyr". It matches the Rfam family "tRNA". Rfam says of the family: Transfer RNA (tRNA) molecules are approximately 80 nucleotides in length. Their secondary structure includes four short double-helical elements and three loops (D, anti-codon, and T loops). The record is from RNAcentral. Lineage: Eukaryota; Metazoa; Arthropoda; Insecta; Coleoptera; Elateridae.
AGUAGGAUGGCUGAGAUUUUAAGCGAUAAAUUGUAAAUUUAUUAACGGAGUUACUCCUUCUACUA